RNAcentral lists this non-coding RNA (182 nucleotides) under Clostridium neonatale. The record is from RNAcentral. Lineage: Bacteria; Bacillati; Bacillota; Clostridia; Eubacteriales; Clostridiaceae.
AUGGUGCUUCUAUAUUAACAUAAUGUUUAGAAGUUAAAAGGGAAUAUGGUGAGAUUCCAUAGCAGCCCCCACUACUGUGAGAGAGGAUGAAAGCCAAAAUUAUAUUUACCAUUGAGCAUUAAGCUUGAGAAGGAAUUUGGUAAGUAAUAUGAUUCUUAAGUCAGGAAACCUGCCAUAACUUA